UACAGAGGUGGCAAGCGUUGUUCGGAAUUACUGGGCGUAAAGGGCGCGUAGGCGGUCUUGUAAGUCCUGUGUGAAAUCCCUCGGCUCAACUGAGGAACUGCACGGGAUACUGCGAGACUUGAGUUCGGGAGAGGGAAGCGGAAUUCCUGGUGUAGCGGUGAAAUGCGCAGAUAUCAGGAAGAACACCUAUGGCGAAGGCAGCUCUCUGGGACGGUACUGACGCUGAGACGCGAAAGCGUGGGGAGCGAACAGG
This 253-nucleotide ribosomal RNA is filed under the name uncultured bacterium. RNAcentral describes it as "partial 16S ribosomal RNA". It matches the Rfam family "Bacterial small subunit ribosomal RNA", at positions 524 to 776 of the family's 1533-position model. The record is from RNAcentral.